GAAACUCGGGCGCUUCCGAACCGUCGGCCCAGCCGCGGGGGCCCACGCUCACCCGUGGUUGCUUAUUCUCGUUGGAGGGAGGAGGAUCGACUUGGCUGGAAGUAAGGUUGGCGGUCCAAGGCAGACUUUGAAGGAGGAGAUUUGCCGCAAGUCGUGUGAUGGUCUCUGCCGGGCAAGGCGACUACUCUGGAGCUUGUCUGAAAUCGGGAAAGGUGUACCCACCUGAGAUGUGGGGUUAAUUCCUAACCUGAAUCAUCAGACUCAUCUGGAUUGUUGAGUGCUGGGGACACUUGCCACUGAGGAUGAGGUGUGCCUCUAAGUCACGGGAUAUGGAAGGAUCAAUUCUCUGCAUCCUGCAGGCUUUGGCUGAACAGUUCGAGAAGGGCUGAGGAGGAAGACAGAGGAUGGGCUUUGGAGGCACUGCCAACCUUUGUACAGAAAGCAUUACACAUCUUCUGGAUUUCUGCUUUAGGAUCAGAGCCGGAAGUGGAAUCAGUGGUCCCAAGAAGUUAAGGGAAGGGAAGAGAAGAAAAAUGAAGGAAAACAGAAAAGGAAGGAGGAAAAAGAGGCAGGGACAAGAAGACAGAGUAGCAAAAAAUAGACGAAUAGUCUUGCAUCUCUGGUAAUUUACUAUGUUAUAUGUAAAAAUCCACACAUAAAAGGUUUUCUUCUAUUUAGCCUGAGUGUGUCCUUCAGAAAAUUAGGGCUAAUUUCCUUUAUUCAAUUCUCUGUGAAAAGAAAAAAUUGCUAGUUGUGAUCUUGGAUAUAAAAAUACCGAUCUUUACUAUUUUUUAAAAAUCUUUCCCGAUGGGUUUUCAAUACAGAGUUUCAGCCGCAAUGCCAUCGUCGUUUCACCCAUGU
This is a long non-coding RNA of Hippopotamus amphibius kiboko, 861 nucleotides long. RefSeq lists it as uncharacterized. The transcript is spliced from 5 exons. Lineage: Eukaryota; Metazoa; Chordata; Mammalia; Artiodactyla; Hippopotamidae. The record is from RefSeq and is a predicted model, not a curated record.